UUCGCAAUGCCCGAAAGGGUGACGAAGCGACGCCGCGUGGGUGAGGAAGGCCUUCGGGUUGUAAAGCCCUGUCAGGAGUUAAGAAAUGCAGGUGCGCUAAUAUCGUAUCUGUUUGACAAAUGCUCCAAAGGAAGCCACGGCUAACUCUGUGCCAGCAGCCGCGGUAAUACAGAGGUGGCAAGCGUUGUUCGGAAUUAUUGGGCGUAAAGAGCACGUAGGUGGGCUUGUAAGUCAGAUGUGAAAGCCUUCUGUUCAACGGGAGAAUUGCAUCUGAAACUACAAACCUUGAGUGUAGGAGGGGAGAAUGGAACUUCUGGUGGAGCGGUGAAAUGCGUAGAUAUCAGAAGGAACGCCGGCGGCGAAAGCGAUUCUCUGGCCUAUUACUGACACUCAGUGUGCGAAAGCUAGGGGAGCAAACGGGAUUAGAUACCCCGGUAGUCCUAGCCGUAAACGAUGGGCACUAAGUAGAGGGGUUUU
This 477-nucleotide ribosomal RNA is filed under the name Candidatus Scalindua brodae. Its description in RNAcentral is "bacterial SSU rRNA". It matches the Rfam family "Bacterial small subunit ribosomal RNA", at positions 365 to 832 of the family's 1533-position model. The record is from RNAcentral. Lineage: Bacteria; Pseudomonadati; Planctomycetota; Candidatus Brocadiia; Candidatus Brocadiales; Candidatus Scalinduaceae. RNAcentral also lists the same sequence under 1 other name.